CACUUUCAGGGCCAAUUUCACAUAAAACGAGCUAGCUUAGGAUCAUAAAAAGAACUAUUGGCUUCGAAAUCAUAACACUGUGUAAGCUAGAAAAGUUACAUGCUCAGUUAAUAUCCAAUUCCGAUAGCUUCAACAAAUGCAUAUUCAUUCAAUUACAAAGAGAAUGCCAAUGAAAAAUAAAAUAGAAAAGGAAUUCCUCAUUGAUAUAUACAGAAAAUUCAAAUACCUAAAAUUUGAUCGUCUAUUUUGGAAGAUUAAUCAAAUUAGAUAAGAACAAAAGCGAAGCUGAAACAAACCAUACCCAUUUUAUAAGAAGGGCAAAAACCCAUCCCCAACAAAUGACUCCACAGUGUCCCUUCAUUUCAAAGCUUAAAA
This 375-nucleotide unclassified non-coding RNA is filed under the name Hevea brasiliensis (rubber tree). Lineage: Eukaryota; Viridiplantae; Streptophyta; Magnoliopsida; Malpighiales; Euphorbiaceae. The record is from RNAcentral.